UUGACAGCCAGGGGACUAGAGUUCUAUUUAUCUGCAGAACAGGUACUGCAUGAGCAGUGACUGUGCAGAUUUCCUCCAUGCUGCAAGCCUCUACCCUACUCUGGAGUGAUUCUUCCCAAGAGCACGUUAACUGCUUCACUGCAGUGGGCCAGAGUGGCACGAUUUUUUAAGUGCCAACCUUCCUGACAUGUCAGAG
Molecule: small RNA, 196 nt
Filed under: Gopherus agassizii (Agassiz's desert tortoise)
Lineage: Eukaryota; Metazoa; Chordata; Testudines; Testudinidae
Description: TUC338 (ENSGAGG00000003479.1)
Source: RNAcentral